Molecule: ribosomal RNA, 468 nt
Filed under: uncultured bacterium
Lineage: Bacteria
Description: partial 16S ribosomal RNA
Rfam family: Bacterial small subunit ribosomal RNA
Source: RNAcentral
GACGAACGCUGGCGGCGUGCUUAACACAUGCAAGUCGAACGGAAAGGCCCUGCUUUUGUGGGGUGCCCGAGUGGCGAACGGGUGAGUAACACGUGAGUAACCUGCCCUUGACUUUGGGAUAACUUCAGGAAACUGGGGCUAAUACCGGAUAGGAGCUCCUGAUGCAUGGUGGGGGUUGGAAAGUUUCGGCGGUUGGGGAUGGACUCGCGGCUUAUCAGCUUGUUGGUGGGGUAGUGGCUUACCAAGGCUUUGACGGGUAGCCGGCCUGAGAGGGUGACCGGCCACAUUGGGACUGAGAUACGGCGCAGACUCCUACGGGAGGCAGCAGUGGGGAAUAUUGCACAAUGGGCGGAAGCCUGAUGCAGCAGCGCCGCGUGCGGGAUGACGGCCUUCGGGGUGUAAACCGCUUUCGCCUGUGACGAAGCGUGAGUGACGGUAAUGGGUAAAGAAGCACCGGCUAACUACGUG